Molecule: ribosomal RNA, 605 nt
Filed under: Shigella sonnei
Lineage: Bacteria; Pseudomonadati; Pseudomonadota; Gammaproteobacteria; Enterobacterales; Enterobacteriaceae
Also listed under: 5 other names
Description: partial 23S ribosomal RNA
Rfam family: Bacterial large subunit ribosomal RNA
Source: RNAcentral
UGUUUGAUGUUCUAACGUGGACCCGUGAUCCGGGUUGCGGACAGUGUCUGGUGGGUAGUUUGACUGGGGCGGUCUCCUCCUAAAGAGUAACGGAGGAGCACGAAGGUUGGCUAAUCCUGGUCGGACAUCAGGAGGUUAGUGCAAUGGCAUAAGCCAGCUUGACUGCGAGCGUGACGGCGCGAGCAGGUGCGAAAGCAGGUCAUAGUGAUCCGGUGGUUCUGAAUGGAAGGGCCAUCGCUCAACGGAUAAAAGGUACUCCGGGGAUAACAGGCUGAUACCGCCCAAGAGUUCAUAUCGACGGCGGUGUUUGGCACCUCGAUGUCGGCUCAUCACAUCCUGGGGCUGAAGUAGGUCCCAAGGGUAUGGCUGUUCGCCAUUUAAAGUGGUACGCGAGCUGGGUUUAGAACGUCGUGAGACAGUUCGGUCCCUAUCUGCCGUGGGCGCUGGAGAACUGAGGGGGGCUGCUCCUAGUACGAGAGGACCGGAGUGGACGCAUCACUGGUGUUCGGGUUGUCAUGCCAAUGGCACUGCCCGGUAGCUAAAUGCGGAAGAGAUAAGUGCUGAAAGCAUCUAAGCACGAAACUUGCCCCGAGAUGAGUUCUCCC